Molecule: ribosomal RNA, 492 nt
Filed under: uncultured bacterium
Lineage: Bacteria
Description: partial 16S ribosomal RNA
Rfam family: Bacterial small subunit ribosomal RNA
Source: RNAcentral
AGUGAACGCUGGCGGUAGGCCUAACACAUGCAAGUCGAACGGCAGCACAGUAAGAGCUUGCUCUUACGGGUGGCGAGUGGCGGACGGGUGAGGAAUACAUCGGAUUCUUCUUUUUCGUGGUUGAUAACGUAGGGAAACUUACGCUAAUACCGCAUACGACCUUCGGUUGAAAGCAGGGGAUCUUCGGACCUUGCGCGAUUGAAUGAGCCGAUGUCGGAUUAGCUAGUUGGCGGGGUAACGGCCCACCAAGGCAACGAUCCGUAGCUGGUCUGAGAGGAUGAUCAGCCACACUGGAACUGAGACACGGUCCAGACUCCUACGGGAGGCAGCAGUGGGGAAUAUUGGACAAUGGGCGCAAGCCUGAUCCAGCCAUACCGCGUGGGUGAAGAAGGCCUUCGGGUUGUAAAGCCCUUUUGUUGGGAAAGAAAAGCAGCAGGUUAAUACCCCGCUGUUCUGACGGUACCAAAAGAAUAAGCACCGGCUAACUUCGUG